Ochotona curzoniae (black-lipped pika) is the source of this 259-nucleotide long non-coding RNA. RefSeq lists it as uncharacterized. The transcript has 2 exons. Lineage: Eukaryota; Metazoa; Chordata; Mammalia; Lagomorpha; Ochotonidae. The record is from RefSeq and is a predicted model, not a curated record.
AUAAUGAAAAGACUUAUAAAACGAUAUGUUUUGAAAGCACAAGUAGAUAAAGAAAAUGAUGAAGUUAAUGAAGGUGAAUUGAAGGAGAUCAAGCAAGAUAUCUCCAGCCUUCGUUAUGAACUUUUGGAAGACAAGAGCCAAGCAACUGAGGAAUUAGCCAUUCUGAUUCAUAAACUCAGUGAGAAACUGAACCCCAGCGUGUUGAGAUGUGAAUGAUGCUCCAACAUGGAAUUCUGGCUUUGACCAUAGCACAAAUGUU